UCUACAGCAGAGAAAACCCACGAAAACCCUCGCCAACCACCUCUAAAAACCCACAUAUCUCACUCAUUUCUUCACCAUUUCACCUCAUUUUUGUCUUAAAAGUUUCUAUUUUCAAUAUCUAAUCCCAUACACUAAAAAAGUUUUGUUUUUUCACCCAUUUACACUGUACCCGAACCUAUUUUAAAAAAAAGUGGUGGUUUAACUCCGACCACCGCUUUUAGCGGAGAAAUCGUUCAAUCUCAACGUUCAUUAAGGUGGCCGGAUUUUUGGUCGCAAUUUGUCGCCGGAUUGCGUUUAUAAGAUAUGGCCAACUCGAGUUCGGGAUCUGAUUCAGACCCAGAGGCAGAGUGUCCAACCACAAUACCUACACGAGGGCCGACGCAAAUGAAUGAAAUAUCCAAACUAAUGGAUCAGGGCAAAAGAGUGGCCCUCGAAGUUAAUGAUAAAGGUCAAUACUGUGGAAAAAGCUAUGCGAAGCUCGUAUCCACUCUAGGAGUCAGAUGUCGGCAGACAAUAGGGUUGGCUUAUAAAAACUGGAAAGAAGUCAACCCGACUCUGAAAAAUAAUGUUUGGAAAGACAUUCAGGUAAGCUAUUAUUUGUUAGAAUUUUGAUUUGUUUUUCUAUUACUCA
This is a long non-coding RNA of Cannabis sativa, 631 nucleotides long. RefSeq lists it as uncharacterized. Lineage: Eukaryota; Viridiplantae; Streptophyta; Magnoliopsida; Rosales; Cannabaceae. The transcript has 3 exons. The record is from RefSeq and is a predicted model, not a curated record.